Sinocyclocheilus rhinocerous is the source of this 912-nucleotide RNA transcript. It is a transcript of the gene named prolactin receptor-like, with no coding region annotated. The transcript has 7 exons. The record is from RefSeq and is a predicted model, not a curated record. NCBI's taxonomy places the organism in Eukaryota, Metazoa, Chordata, Actinopteri, Cypriniformes, Cyprinidae.
GGGCGUCUUGCUGCUGCUGCCGCCGUUCCUGUCGCGAACGGCCGUGGUUCGUAUGAGGAUCGUGGCUGCUUUAAUGGUUUCUAGGCAAAUCAGGAACGUUUUCCAAGAUUUGUGAGAAGACGCGUGAUGCUGUGCUUUCUGCUCCUGACGCUCCACUGGACUACAGUCACUGCAGCACUGCAGCCAUCCACACGCACUGCCGCCCUGCAGGAAGAUGGAACAAGGCCAUAUAUUUACUACUGUCGGUCACCCAACAUGGAGAUCUUCACCUGCUGGUGGCAGCCGAUUGCUAAUCAGGACAAUGUCACGUACACGCUCCUAUACACCACAGGUGAACACGCUCCUCAGGAGUGUCCCGAUUACGUGAGCGGUGGCAUCAACAGCUGCUUCUUUGAUGCCAAACACACUCAGAUCUGGGAGAUGUACUGCAUGAACGUGACGGCACACACGCGCACUGGGCCCAUCACCUCCCAGAAACACUGCCUGGAUGUGGCCGAUAUAGUGAAGAUCGACCCGCCUUUUAACUUGACAUACAUCAUGCUGAACGAGAGCAUCAGUGAAUCCGGGCGCAGUAUUUUGUUGUCAUGGUUGUAUCCAAUUGCAUCUCAAGUGCGUGAGGGAUGGAUUACGCUCAUCUACGAGCUACGCUAUAGACAUCUCGCUCAGCCAGACAACUGGAGGGUGAAAGAGCGUUUGCGUGAGCCUCAUGUGUAGUUGUUGGAUCUGCCGGUGGGAACGUAUGAGUUCAUGGUCCGCUGUCGCUCCACCAACAGCAAACACUGGAGCACAUGGAGCGAGUCCAUCAACAUCACCAUCAGCGGCAGACCUCUGUCCGAUCGGAUGUUGGCCUUCAUCCUUGUGACCAGCAUUGCCUUUAUGGCCUUCCUCAUAAUUGGUUUUGGGAUCGUCCCA